RNAcentral lists this ribosomal RNA (465 nucleotides) under uncultured bacterium. Its description in RNAcentral is "bacterial SSU rRNA". It matches the Rfam family "Bacterial small subunit ribosomal RNA", at positions 328 to 793 of the family's 1533-position model. The record is from RNAcentral.
CGCUAUCACUCCUACGGGAGGCAGCAGUGAGGAAUAUUGGUCAAUGGACGCAAGUCUGAACCAGCCAUGCCGCGUGAAGGAUGAAGGCCUUCUGGGUUGUAAACUUCUUUAUCAGGGAGAAAUUACGGUUUCUACUGUAACCGACGGUACCUGAGGAAUAAGCACCGGCUAACUCCGUGCCAGCAGCCGCGGUAAUACGGAGGGUGCAAGCGUUAUCCGGAUUCACUGGGUUUAAAGGGUGUGUAGGCGGGCUAUUAAGUCAGUGGUGAAAUCUCCGGGCUCAACCCGGAAACUGCCAUUGAUACUAUUAGUCUUGAAUUUUGUUGAGGUAGGCGGAAUAUAUCAUGUAGCGGUGAAAUGCAUAGAUAUGAUAUAGAACACCGAUUGCGAAGGCAGCUUACUAAGCAAAUAUUGACGCUGAGGCACGAAAGCGUGGGGAUCAAACAGGAUUAGAUACCCUGGUAG